RNAcentral lists this ribosomal RNA (497 nucleotides) under uncultured bacterium. RNAcentral describes it as "partial 16S ribosomal RNA". It matches the Rfam family "Bacterial small subunit ribosomal RNA", at positions 28 to 507 of the family's 1533-position model. The record is from RNAcentral.
GAUGAACGCUGGCGGCGUGCUUAACACAUGCAAGUCGAGCGAAAAGGCGAGGAGUUUGCGCCUCUGACGAUAGCCGCGGAGGGGUGAGUAACACGUGGAUAAUCCACCUAUAUGACGGGGAUAACUUCGGGAAACCGGCUCAAAUACGGGAUGAUAUAUUGAACCGCAUGGUUCAAUAGAGAAUGUCGGUUUUGGUGUCACUUCUAGGUGGAUCCGCGCGGCAUUGGAUUGUUGGUAAGGUAACGGGUUACCAAGGCAACGAUGGGUAUCCGAAUUGAGAGGGUGGUAGGCCACACUGGAACUGAGACGGGGUCCUGAGUCCUGAGAGAGGCAGCAGUCGGGAAUCGUACGCAAUGGUGGAGAGCCUGACGGAGCAGCGCCGCGUGUGAGGUGAAGAUCCUCGGUUCGUGAAGAUCUGCUUUGGGUGGAGAACAAAUGUCUAAGUAGAUGUGCACGUAGUGACGGUACCUGAUCAAGAAGCCCCGGCUAACUACGUG